UACGUAGGGGCCUAGCGUUGUCCGGAAUUGUUGGGCGUAAAGAGCUCGUAGGCGGUCUGUUGCGUCCGCUGUGAAAACUCGGGGCUUAACCCCGAGCCUGCAGUGGAUACGGGCAGACUAGAGGUAGGUAGGGGAGAAUGGAAUUCCCGGUGUAGCGGUGAAAUGCGCAGAUAUCGGGAGGAACACCGGUGGCGAAGGCGGUUCUCUGGGCCUUACCUGACGCUGAGGAGCGAAAGCGUGGGGAGCGAACAGG
RNAcentral lists this ribosomal RNA (253 nucleotides) under uncultured bacterium. RNAcentral's name for it is "partial 16S ribosomal RNA". It matches the Rfam family "Bacterial small subunit ribosomal RNA", at positions 524 to 776 of the family's 1533-position model. The record is from RNAcentral.